ACUCUGAACCCAUGUUCCGCUGACUUGAGGUCAGCAACAUGCCCAGGUAGCCAUCGACCUCCAAGGCUACGGUGCGGUUCGCCGCACAGGUCGUUGUUCAUCCCCGGCGCAUCCCGCGCCAUUUACCUCAACCCACCAGGGGCUCCCAACCCCGGUGGCGG
Roseateles aquatilis is the source of this 161-nucleotide regulatory RNA element. It matches the Rfam family "radC RNA". The record is from Rfam. NCBI's taxonomy places the organism in Bacteria, Pseudomonadati, Pseudomonadota, Betaproteobacteria, Burkholderiales, Sphaerotilaceae.